RNAcentral lists this long non-coding RNA (436 nucleotides) under Mytilus galloprovincialis (Mediterranean mussel). Lineage: Eukaryota; Metazoa; Mollusca; Bivalvia; Mytilida; Mytilidae. The record is from RNAcentral.
AAAAGCGAAAUCCAAACUUUAUUAUGCUAGAAUGAAGAUAGGAUGAUCUUAGGACACCUUAUUGGGUGACUUAAAGUUAGGACGAAAAAUGAGAUAUGUCAUAAGUUAAGAGAGCUUCGAGAACACGACUUAGGACAAAGACUUGUCAUAAGAUAGACUUAGGACACGUCCUUAUCCUAAGAUAGCUUCGAGAACACCACCCCAGUUCUUUUAUUGAAAUAAAAUUGAUAUGUGAACCUAAAUAGAAACUGGAAUUUACUGAUAAGCCUAGGAAUGAUCACACUCUACUACGGAUUGAUUUUUUUUCACGUCGUCUUUUAUGUCACAGGAAACGAUAUCAGUAUAUGGUGGUUUAGUUGUUAUUAAUGUUGUUAGUCAGAUGUAGAAGCCGUCGCUCCGCUAGGCUCAAUUUCAGAUGAAACAUGUCCGAGGGCCC